This 492-nucleotide ribosomal RNA is filed under the name uncultured bacterium. RNAcentral's name for it is "partial 16S ribosomal RNA". It matches the Rfam family "Bacterial small subunit ribosomal RNA", at positions 29 to 507 of the family's 1533-position model. The record is from RNAcentral.
AGUGAACGCUGGCGGUAGGCCUAACACAUGCAAGUCGAACGGCAGCACAGUAAGAGCUUGCUCUUACGGGUGGCGAGUGGCGGACGGGUGAGGAAUACAUCGGAAUCUACUUUUUCGUGGGGGAUAACGUAGGGAAACUUACGCUAAUACCGCAUACGACCUACGGGUGAAAGCAGGGGAUCUUCGGACCUUGCGCGAUUGAAUGAGCCGAUGUCGGAUUAGCUAGUUGGCGGGGUAAAGGCCCACCAAGGCGACGAUCCGUAGCUGGUCUGAGAGGAUGAUCAGCCACACUGGAACUGAGACACGGUACAGACUCCUACGGGAGGAAGCAGUGGGGAAUAUUGGACAAUGGGCGCAAGCCUGAUCCAGCCAUACCGCGUGGGGGAAGAAGGCCUUCGGGUUGUAAAGCCCUUUUGUUGGGAAAGAAAAGCAGCAGGUUAAUACCCCGCUGUUCUGACGGUACCCAAAGAAUAAGCACCGGCUAACUUCGUG